GAUGAACGCUAGCGGCAGGCUUAACACAUGCAAGUCGAGGGGCAACACGGGUAGCAAUACCUGGUGGCGACCGGCGCAAGGGUGCGUAACGCGUGAGCAACAUACCCUAUACAGGGGGAUAAUCCAGGGAAACUUGGUCUAAUAUCCCAUAGGAUUUACAGAUGUCAUCAUCUAUAAAUUAAAGCUUCGGUGGUAUAGGAUUGGCUCGCGUGACAUUAGCUAGAUGGUGGGGUAACGGCCUACCAUGGCCAUGAUGUCUAGGGGUUCUGAGAGGAAGACCCCCCACACUGGGACUGAGACACGGCCCAGACUCCUACGGGAGGCAGCAGUGAGGAAUAUUGGACAAUGGAUGGAAAUCUGAUCCAGCCAUGCCGCGUGCAGGAAGACGGCCCUAUGGGUUGUAAACUGCUUUUAUAUGGGAGCAAUAAGGUCUACGCGUAGACCGAUGAGAGUACCAUAUGAAUAAGCAUCGGCU
Molecule: ribosomal RNA, 475 nt
Filed under: uncultured bacterium
Lineage: Bacteria
Description: bacterial SSU rRNA
Rfam family: Bacterial small subunit ribosomal RNA
Source: RNAcentral